CGGCAACAGCUCAAAUUUGAAAUCUGGCUCCUUCGGGGCCCGAGUUGUAAUUUGCAGAGGAUGCCUCGGGUACGGGUUCCUACCGAGUUCCCUGGAACGGGACGCCAUAGAGGGUGAGAGCCCCGUCUGGUAGGUUACCCAGCCCGUGUGAGGCUCCCUCGAC
RNAcentral lists this ribosomal RNA (163 nucleotides) under Plectosphaerellaceae sp. RNAcentral describes it as "partial large subunit ribosomal RNA". It matches the Rfam family "Eukaryotic large subunit ribosomal RNA", at positions 99 to 261 of the family's 3401-position model. Lineage: Eukaryota; Fungi; Ascomycota; Sordariomycetes; Glomerellales; Plectosphaerellaceae. The record is from RNAcentral.